This is a long non-coding RNA of Gavialis gangeticus (Gharial), 1153 nucleotides long. RefSeq lists it as uncharacterized. The record is from RefSeq and is a predicted model, not a curated record. Lineage: Eukaryota; Metazoa; Chordata; Crocodylia; Gavialidae. The transcript has 2 exons.
UCAGAAGUAGAAUGCACUGGUAUUUCUGACUUGCUUUUAGUGAAUGUAUUCACAAAGAUGAGGGUGGAGGAACUGGAUGAUUUAUUUUUGUAUUUUCCCCUUUAAGCAAAAAAACAAAAGAGAGAAUGCUUUCUCAUAACAGAGGAGGGAGGUAACAGCACUUGGCAAAAACAUAACAUGUUUUGCUGGAAAUGAUUUUACUUUGUUCCUGAAAAGUAUGCUAUUUAUUGGCAGGUUAGGACAGUGUUUUACGUGUGUAAUAUGAAAUUAGUGGAGGAGGAGGUGAAGAGAAUUCAGUCCAGAUUAUUGGUUACAGUAAAUUUGUUUUCUUGUGCUAAAUAGGCAUAAAAUGGGUUUAUCCAGCUACCUAGUGGAAUACAUAGACAGUGUAGUUGGGCCUUUCUUAACCUCUGUCCCUACUUCUUUAAGCCUCAGCACAGGACAUAGCCAGGUCAUUUCUGUACCCUGAUAUAGUCUCCAACUGCUGGAACACCCCAUGGCCACAAUUUUUCCAACUAUUUAGUUGGUCUAAUAAAAAAUAUCACAUUUUACCCAAAGAACCUUGUCUGCCCAUGUCCAGAAGACAUUUUUCCUGGUUAAAGAGGCUCAGUAUUGCAUCUCAGAUAUCCCCAGUUACUAAUCAUUUGCUGUGUUUUGGCAGGUCCUUAGCUAAACUCAUUAAAAUCACACAUUAUGAGUACUACUGAUCAUGCCACAUCCUCCUUACAGCAGCAAAACAACCAGCCCAUCUCCUGAGAUCCUACAGAUAGGACAGCUGGAGUCAGAUGAUAUUUCAGUACUGCUGUUCUUGAAGUUGCCAGAGAAAAAAAAACAAGACUUUAUACCUGAAGGAGCUCAAAAGCCUUUUGUUUCAGUUGGUAACCCUAUUUUUUUAAAUAAAAGGAGGAGUAAAUGUUUGUGAAACAAGCUUUUCUAGCAUAUAAUGUGCAUGCAGCCUUCCUAUGCCCUGAUGAACUGUAGGUAAUUACCAUUUUGUUGGUGGCAAAGAGUCAGCUCUGAAGCUAAUGUGGAGAAUUAAAGCAGAAUGUACAGCGGGCAGCACCAAAGAAAGUCUGAAUGUACAAAGCAGAGAGAGAGCAUGAUGAGCUAUCUGACUCAUUGGUCUCUGGUCAGAAUAAGAGUAUUAGAAAGC